Callithrix jacchus (white-tufted-ear marmoset) is the source of this 117-nucleotide unclassified non-coding RNA. It matches the Rfam family "Metazoan signal recognition particle RNA". Rfam says of the family: The signal recognition particle (SRP) is a universally conserved ribonucleoprotein. It is involved in the co-translational targeting of proteins to membranes. The record is from Ensembl. Lineage: Eukaryota; Metazoa; Chordata; Mammalia; Primates; Cebidae.
GCUGGGCGCGGUGGCUCACGCCUGUAAUCCUAGCACUUUGGGAGGCCAAGGUGGGUGGAUCACCUGAGGUCAGGAGUUCAAGACCAGCCUGACCAUCAUGGUGAAACCCCAUCUUAU